RNAcentral lists this unclassified non-coding RNA (282 nucleotides) under Hevea brasiliensis (rubber tree). Lineage: Eukaryota; Viridiplantae; Streptophyta; Magnoliopsida; Malpighiales; Euphorbiaceae. The record is from RNAcentral.
UCAGAAUGUACACUAUGUAGCACUGGCACACCACCAGACGCUUCACUGACAGUGCUACCAGUCCCAUUUCCAUUCUCCUGUAACACAGUAUCUGAGUGUGCAUGCAUCAAUCCCUUUUGACACAUGUAGCAAUCCAUCAUUCUCAACACACGAACUUGCGAUCGUGGUGAUCCUGCGGGAUGCAAGCCGUACCAUUCGCCGUUAUGCAGUUGCAGGUAGGUGGGGGGCAAUGGUGGUAGCUGUGACAGAAGCGGAUACACUGGCUUAUAGUUAGGAUCAUUG